GACGAACGCUGGCGGCGUGCCUAAUACAUGCAAGUAGAACGCUGAAGGAGGAGCUUGCUUCUCUGGAUGAGUUGCGAACGGGUGAGUAACGCGUAGGUAACCUGCCUGGUAGCGGAGGAUAACUAUUGGAAACGAUAGCUAAUACCGCAUAAUAGUAGAUGUUGCAUGACAUUUGCUUAAAAGGUGCAAUUGCAUCACUACCAGAUGGACCUGCGUUGUAUUAGCUAGUUGGUGGGGUAACGGCUCACCAAGGCGACGAUACAUAGCCGACCUGAGAGGGGGAUCGGCCACACUGGGACUGAGACACGGCCCAGACUCCUACGGGAGGCAGCAGUAGGGAAUCUUCGGCAAUAGACGGAAGUCUGACCGAGCAACGCCGCGUGAGUGAAGAAGGUUUUCGGAUCGUAAAGCUCUGUUGUAAGAGAAGAACGAGUGUGAGAGUGGAAAGUUCACACUGUGACGGUAUCUUACCAGAAAGGGACGGCUAACUACGUG
Molecule: ribosomal RNA, 495 nt
Filed under: uncultured bacterium
Lineage: Bacteria
Description: partial 16S ribosomal RNA
Rfam family: Bacterial small subunit ribosomal RNA
Source: RNAcentral